GGGCACGUCACUUAAAUCUGAAGA
Molecule: non-coding RNA, 24 nt
Filed under: Cricetulus griseus (Chinese hamster)
Lineage: Eukaryota; Metazoa; Chordata; Mammalia; Rodentia; Cricetidae
Source: RNAcentral